GACGAACGCUGGCGGCGUGCCUAAUACAUGCAAGUGGGACGCAAGGACACACACUGUGCUUGCACACCGUGUUUUCUUGAGUCGCGAACGGGUGAGUAACGCGUAGGUAACCUGCCUAUUAGCGGGGGAUAACUAUUGGAAACGAUAGCUAAUACCGCAUAAUAUUAAUUAUUGCAUGAUAAUUGAUUGAAAGAUGCAAGCGCAUCACUAGUAGAUGGACCUGCGUUGUAUUAGCUAGUUGGUAAGGUAAGAGCUUACCAAGGCGACGAUACAUAGCCGACCUGAGGGGGUGAUCGGCCAAAAUGGGACUGGGACACGGCCCAGACUCCUACGGGAGGCAGCAGUAGGGAAUCUUCGGCAAUGGACGAAAGUCUGACCGAGGAACGCCGCGGGAGUGAAGGAGGGUUUCGGAUCGUAAAGAUCUGUUGUAAGUCAAGAAAGUGUGUGAGAGUGUAAAGUUCACACAGUGACGGUAGCUUACCAGAAAGGGACGGCUAACUACGUG
RNAcentral lists this ribosomal RNA (505 nucleotides) under uncultured bacterium. Its description in RNAcentral is "partial 16S ribosomal RNA". It matches the Rfam family "Bacterial small subunit ribosomal RNA", at positions 28 to 507 of the family's 1533-position model. The record is from RNAcentral.